RNAcentral lists this ribosomal RNA (1417 nucleotides) under Candidatus Aquiluna rubra. RNAcentral describes it as "16S ribosomal RNA". It matches the Rfam family "Bacterial small subunit ribosomal RNA". The record is from RNAcentral. Lineage: Bacteria; Bacillati; Actinomycetota; Actinomycetes; Micrococcales; Microbacteriaceae.
GACGAACGCUGGCGGCGUGCUUAACACAUGCAAGUCGAACGAUGAAGCUGGAGCUUGCUCCGGUGGAUUAGUGGCGAACGGGUGAGUAACACGUGAGAAAUCUGCCCUUGACUCUGGGAUAACUGCGGGAAACUGUAGCUAAUACCGGAUACUUUCCUUGGUGGGCAUCCACUGGGGAAGAAAGAAUUUCGGUCAAGGAUGAUCUCGCGGCCUAUCAUCUAGUUGGUGAGGUAAUGGCUCACCAAGGCGACACGGGUAGCCGGCCUGAGAGGGUGACCGGCCACACUGGGACUGAGACACGGCCCAGACUCCUACGGGAGGCAGCAGUGGGGAAUAUUGCACAAUGGGCGCAAGCCUGAUGCAGCAACGCCGCGUGAGGGAUGAAGGCCUUCGGGUUGUAAACCUCUUUUAGCAGGGAAGAAGCGAAAGUGACGGUACCUGCAGAAAAAGCACCGGCUAACUACGUGCCAGCAGCCGCGGUAAUACGUAGGGUGCAAGCGUUGUCCGGAAUUAUUGGGCGUAAAGAGCUCGUAGGCGGUUUGUCACGUCUGCUGUGAAAUUCCGAGGCUCAACCUCGGACUUGCAGUGGGUACGGGCAGGCUAGAGUGCGGUAGGGGAGAUGGGAAUUCCUGGUGUAGCGGUGGAAUGCGCAGAUAUCAGGAGGAACACCAAUGGCGAAGGCACAUCUGUGGGCCGUAACUGACGCUGAGGAGCGAAAGCGUGGGGAGCGAACAGGAUUAGAUACCCUGGUAGUCCACGCCGUAAACGGUGGGUGCUAGCUGUGGGCCACAUUCCACGUGGUCCGUGACGAAGUUAACACAUUAAGCACCCCGCCUGGGGAGUACGGCCGCAAGGCUAAAACUCAAAGGAAUUGACGGGGGCCCGCACAAGCGGCGGAGCAUGCGGAUUAAUUCGAUGCAACGCGAAGAACCUUACCAAGGCUUGACAUAUAGAGGAAAAGUGCAGAAAUGUACUCCCCGCAAGGUCUCUAUACAGGUGGUGCAUGGUUGUCGUCAGCUCGUGUCGUGAGAUGUUGGGUUAAGUCCCGCAACGAGCGCAACCCUCGUCCUAUGUUGCCAGCACGUAAUGGUGGGAACUCAUGGGAUACUGCCGGGGUCAACUCGGAGGAAGGUGGGGAUGACGUCAAAUCAUCAUGCCCCUUAUGUCUUGGGCUUCACGCAUGCUACAAUGGCCGGUACAGAGGGCUGCAAUACCGUAAGGUGGAGCGAAUCCCAAAAAGCCGGUCUCAGUUCGGAUUGAGGUCUGCAACUCGACCUCAUGAAGUCGGAGUCGCUAGUAAUCGUAGAUCACCAACGCUACGGAGAAUACGUUCCCGGGCCUUGUACACACCGCCCGUCAAGUCAGAAAGUCGGUAACACCCGAAGCCGGUGGCCUAACCGUAAGGAGGGGAGCGCGU